GACGGGGGGGGCAAGUGUUCUUCGGAAUGACUGGGCGUAAAGGGCACGUAGGCGGUGAAUCGGGUUGAAAGUGAAAGUCGCCAAAAAGUGGCGGAAUGCUCUCGAAACCAAUUCACUUGAGUGAGACAGAGGAGAGUGGAAUUUCGUGUGUAGGGGUGAAAUGCGUAGAUAUCGUAAGGAAGACCAGUGGCGAAGGCGGGUCUCUGGACAGUUCCUGACGCUGAGGCACGAAGGUCAGGGGAGCAAACGGG
Molecule: ribosomal RNA, 251 nt
Filed under: uncultured bacterium
Lineage: Bacteria
Description: partial 16S ribosomal RNA
Rfam family: Bacterial small subunit ribosomal RNA
Source: RNAcentral